AUUCCAGCUCCAAUAGCGUAUAUUAAAGUUGUUGCAGUUAAAAAGCUCGUAGUUGGAGUUCAGAUUGAGCUCGGCCGGUCGGCCUAAUUGGUCAGAACUGGUUGACUCUGUCUUGUUUGUGGAUCCCUCCGGAGUUAACUCUUCGGAUGUGGAGUCCACAUCGUUUACCUUGAAAAAAUUAGAGUGUUCAAAGCAGGCGUUUGCUUGAAUAUAUUAGCAUGGAAUAAUGGAAUAGGACUUUGGUUCUAUUUUGUUGGUUUCUAGGACCGAAGUAAUGAUUAAUAGGGACAGUUGGGGGCAUUAGUAUUUAAUUGACAGAGGUGAAAUUCUUGGAUUUAUGAAAGACUAACUACUGCGAAAGCAUUUGCCAAGGAUGUUUUCAUUG
RNAcentral lists this ribosomal RNA (385 nucleotides) under Telonemia sp. RNAcentral's name for it is "partial small subunit ribosomal RNA". It matches the Rfam family "Eukaryotic small subunit ribosomal RNA", at positions 582 to 975 of the family's 1831-position model. The record is from RNAcentral. Lineage: Eukaryota; Telonemia.